GGAUGCGAUCAUACCAGCACUAAAGCACCGGAUCCCAUUAGAACUCCAAAGUUAAGCGUGCUUGGGUGAGAGUAGUACUAGGAUGGGUGACCUCCUGGGAAGUCCUUGUGUUGCAUUCC
RNAcentral lists this ribosomal RNA (119 nucleotides) under Triticum aestivum (bread wheat). Lineage: Eukaryota; Viridiplantae; Streptophyta; Magnoliopsida; Poales; Poaceae. The record is from RNAcentral.